RNAcentral lists this unclassified non-coding RNA (40 nucleotides) under Thermococcus onnurineus. RNAcentral describes it as "RNA (40-MER) from Thermococcus onnurineus (PDB 6O7I, chain H)". RNAcentral also lists the same sequence under 1 other name. The record is from RNAcentral. Lineage: Archaea; Methanobacteriati; Methanobacteriota; Thermococci; Thermococcales; Thermococcaceae.
CCCUGGCGCCCAAUACGCAAACCGCCUCUGCCCGCGGGCG